Long non-coding RNA from Juglans microcarpa x Juglans regia, 456 nucleotides. RefSeq lists it as uncharacterized. The record is from RefSeq and is a predicted model, not a curated record. Lineage: Eukaryota; Viridiplantae; Streptophyta; Magnoliopsida; Fagales; Juglandaceae. The transcript has 3 exons.
UGAGUUUAAGAUGUGAAUUUAUCACUAACUUUGUUGCAGUCUGGUUGUGUUGAGAAGGGCCUUGGGCCCGGCAACGUGUUGGGAUCGAUAACUGUGUGUGGUUGUGGGAAUUGGGACAUGGGCCGGAUGGAGAAUGGGAUUACGCGUGUAGCUUGGUUUCUGAAACUAUGUAUAUUGUGAUUGUUGUGAUGUUGUAUAUUGUCUGAUGUGUGUUAUCCCAUGUCAUCCAAUAUACUAUCUAUCAUGCAUCCUCAUCUUUACCGUAAUUACAAUUUGUUCUGAUUAUUUAACUUUGUUGUGUUAUGCCAUAUUAUGUGAAUUUAAAACUGGGUUUUUGUGUACUGGGAUAUCAUGUGGGUGUGUGCGUAUCACGACCCCAAGCCGAGAUGGUGCAUUAUCUCGGUGGAGUUCCUCUGGUCACUCGAGAACGUAAUAAGCUAAGUGACAUCCCCUGGG